RNAcentral lists this long non-coding RNA (3146 nucleotides) under Phoenix dactylifera (date palm). RNAcentral's name for it is "long non-coding RNA (PDAC_LNC004937)". The record is from RNAcentral. Lineage: Eukaryota; Viridiplantae; Streptophyta; Magnoliopsida; Arecales; Arecaceae.
UAACUUGUAGUGCAAAGAUUAUGUUCAAGCUCUGCAAUCCUCACUUUAAGGGCCUUCACCUGUAUCACACACAUUUACAAUAUGAAUUCCUAGUCAUACUUCCACGUAAAACAUUUAAGAAAGAAACAAAAAUAUUUAUAAUAGAACAAAAAAAAUCACCAUUUCAAAUCAUGUCGUAAGAUCAACAAAAUCAAUAAAUAAAAUCUCCAAUAUUUUAUCAUGAAAAGGUUAUUAGUUUAUUGAAAGAUCAGCAAUUAAUCCAUACCUCUUCAUCCAACAAGGAGAUUAAUUUGUCUUUAUCAAUUACGUCUUUAGACAUCAUUCCAGCAACUUUAACUGCAUCACCUUCAUAAUCUCCAUUUCCUGUGGUUGGACUUGCAUUAGAAUCUCUUUCUUCUGCAUUGAAUGUAGCUCCAGAAUGCUGACCAAACUCUUUUCCAGCUUCCUCCGUGACCAACAUAUCAAUAUCUAGCUUUUCAGUUAUAUUUCGUGGAACAGAAUCAUCAGACUCCUCUUUAGGAUACAUAAAGCCACUACUAUUUGAGGAAUCCUCUAACACGUCUGCUGAAAUGUCUUGAGAAUUAUGCUCGUUAACCAUGAUAUACGGAUGCGACAUAGAACUGCCUUCCGUAGCUGUACAUGCCAGCUGUUCCAAAUUUGCACCAUUUAUGUUAUUGUUGUUAUUUUGAGAAGUCAUGGUACCACUGGAUACAAAAGCUUGGCAGGAGGCAUCAGCUACAGACUCUUGCUCUGGUAUCCUUUCCAUGUAAACAGACUCCAUAGGAAAAGGUGAACAUAAGCAUUCUUGAUGGCAAAGGAUAUCAUAAGACAGUACACUUCCUAAUGAGUGACCAUAUAUUGAAACCUGAAAACAGUAACAUGCAUCUGUAAAACCCACCCAAGGUUGCCAUGACAACAAAGAAGACAAAUAUUGCUCAGUUUAUACAUUUCACUACAAACCUUCCCAUUGUAGCCUGGAUUUCUUUUGAGAAACUUCGCAUACAAUCUGUUUAACUGGUUUGAAACCUGAAAGCAUGAUUUAUAAGUUAAAAGAGCUCUACUAAUGCAGUUUGAGAUUCGGAUUUGUAACAUUAGAUCGCUCCCUCCUUUUUAUUUUCAUGCUAUUGAUUGGAAAAUUUCACUGGUGCAAUCUGUUCAAUUUUAUUAACCAUGCUAAUUUUUUAGGCAAAACUUGUUAUUCAGAUAUGCUAUCUUCAAUAUUAACCUUUAAACCCUAAGGUGCAUUUGAAGAUGCCGAAUGGUGGGUUUUGCUCCUGUGCUAGCCACUAUAACAAUGAUUAAAUUCAUUAUCUUCAUAUUUUAAUACAUAUGAAUACAAACAUUUUGGAAUGCAUUAGUUUCUAAAAUCCUUUGCACUUUUGCAGUAUUUCCCAAUUUUAGUCAACAUGUACCACUGUCAGUGAUAUGGCCAGCAAACAAUUUUCUUUUAGAUCAUUUGCUUUUGUAAAAUCACUAGGUAACAAAAAAUACAAUUUAGCUACGGUUUUGUCUAUAUAGAAGCUAAAGUUGUGUCAAUGCAAGUAGAAGACACACAUAACCUACAUGAAUCAUGCCAUAAAUCAUACAGAAAUUAUCCACAAAGAGUGGCGAUAGAUCGCUCAGACGUCCAAGCCAAUAUCAAUGAUACAAAGUCAUUGCAAACCAAGAGAAGCAUAAGAUUUAUUUUCUACAAUAGUGUGAUAUCUUUCACCCAAGGUUCCUAAAAGUUGGGCAUUAAUGAAAGUUGGUUUCAGCAUCUCUCAUCUGAACUAGCAAACACAAAUGUUGAAAUGCAUCUCCAGUCAAAGAUACAGCUCAAAUGCACAGAAUCUGUAAGUACCCUCUCAAGCAUCAUAAUAUUUGCAACACUGCACAAUAACUACAACAAGCCUUAUUAGGUGGAUUGUGUGAGCAGAUCAACUAUUGAAACAAGAAGGUGCCUAUACUGAGAAGCAACAUAGUUGUACUGAUUGCCUUGAUUUGAUAUCUUCUGAUGUAUACUAAUUCCUUCUUCCAAUUUCACUUCUAGAAUUUCAGAUCAAUUUUGUCUGUAUCAAACCAUUCACCUAGCAAAGUUUCAAUUGACUGCUAUUCUCAUGCUCAAUUUUGUUUGAGUAGGAUCACAGGAUCCUAUCUUCAAACGCAUACCCUUCAAGAAUUCUUCUCUUAAAUUCUACAAAUACUUAUAGUCAUUCAUAUAUUCUAUUGUUUGAUUCUUGUUAUUUGGGGCUAAUGUACCAAAAGAUAAGCUAUCCAUUAGUUCCAAAUAGAAAUAGGUCUUACAAAGUGUUAAUCAGUCAAUUCAAGGUCAGAGAAUCAUAUAUACUUAAAUGAAAUAGAAUAGAUACUCAAGUGAGUUACAGCAAAGCAUAGGCCAAGAAUGGCCCAACAAUGACUUGAGGAAUGCCUUUACAGCAUGUGGUAAUCACCCUUAUUGGACUUAGGUCAAUCUGCAUGACGGUUAUACUCAAUUGCUAGAUAAUGUUAAGAUGGUGUUCAAUAAGGGUUAUGUCAUACAGACACUUACGCCCAGCUCCAAAAAUCCAUGUCAGAUAGAUAUCCAAAUUGGAUACAUUUCAAACACUUGAAUACUCAUGAAAUUCUUUGGUUGCAGCUUUUGAAGAUUGGUUGAGAGUUGGAUUCUUCCAACAUUGAGUUUUACAGGUCAUUUUGAAUCAAAAGUCAGUAUUUGUUCUUCUCGGAGCUUGUUCAAGGAAGUGGGUGCUGAAAUAACUUAUCAAAAAUUUCUUUUUCUUACAUCAGUAAGUUAAUUAGGAGGUUUGGACAAAAGACUUGUAUCAAAACAUUAACAAAUAAUAUCUUUUUUAAUGUUUUAAAAAAGUUUUUUUCUAACAUUUAAACAAACAAGGAUGAAGGUAUAAAUACAUCUAAUUUAAUUAAAAUUAUAUUCAUCCUAUGCAUCCCUUGAUCUACUUUUUCUUCCUACAGAGUUGGACACUUGGGUAUGAAUUUAAAUCCGAUUCUUAUAUCCAUUAUGAGGAUGAUAAUGUUAUUUCGAUGAUUAACACAACAAUAGAAAGAAUAUCAAAUUAGCAAUACAAUUUAACUUGAUACAUCACUAAGGAAUGGUACACCCUCAAUACAUUCACGAUACAUUGAGAAAAUGAGAUCAAGACGACCCUCAA